RNAcentral lists this ribosomal RNA (58 nucleotides) under uncultured Tomentella. RNAcentral describes it as "partial 28S ribosomal RNA". The record is from RNAcentral. Lineage: Eukaryota; Fungi; Basidiomycota; Agaricomycetes; Thelephorales; Thelephoraceae.
UUUGAACGUUCGAUCUCAAAUCAGGUAGGACUACCCGCUGAACUUAAGCAUAUCAAUA